UACAAAUUAACAUCGGCUGUGGGUUCGGGGUAGAGCUGAGUGCCGCGGCUGUUACGGCUCGUACCAUACCACGUGAAUAAUAACCGUUGAAAACGUGAAACACGUGAUGGACACAAUUAUUGAUAAUCGCCCUAUCAUAAUCAAUUAUUCAUAUAUGUACCUAGCAAUAGCUGUGAAAUGCUGCCACAACAGGCGGCAACGCCAAGGAAACAAGUGGACAAGCCAAAUUCGGACAGUUACAGCUAUUGCGUGGUGCUGCCAGAUGUGCUAAGUGGCAACACUGAAAACAUUUAAGCUGCUUGUUAAUUUUAGCAGGCAGAGAAGCAGGUUAACAAGAGGAUAAAGUCAAUGGAGUAUAAAUAAAUGCAAUUAUUGAGGU
This 379-nucleotide unclassified non-coding RNA is filed under the name Drosophila virilis. Its description in RNAcentral is "GJ26772". The record is from RNAcentral. Lineage: Eukaryota; Metazoa; Arthropoda; Insecta; Diptera; Drosophilidae.